CGCGUAGGCGGCCUGUUAAGUCGAACGUGAAAUCCCUGGGCUCAACCCAGGAACUGCGUCCGAGACUGGCAGGCUUGAAUCCGGGAGAGGGAUGUGGAAUUCCAGGUGUAGCGGUGAAAUGCGUAGAUAUCUGGAGGAACACCGGUGGCGAAGGCGGCAUCCUGGACCGGUAUUGACGCUGAGGCGCGAAAGCCAGGGAGCAAAC
RNAcentral lists this ribosomal RNA (205 nucleotides) under uncultured bacterium. Its description in RNAcentral is "partial 16S ribosomal RNA". It matches the Rfam family "Bacterial small subunit ribosomal RNA", at positions 568 to 773 of the family's 1533-position model. The record is from RNAcentral.